AAACCAGCACCUCAAGUGGUCAGGAUGAUUAUUGGGCCUAAAGCAUCCGUAGCCUGUUCUGUAAGUUUCCGGUUAAAUCCAUUAGCUCAACUAAUGGGCCGCCGAAAAUACUGUAGAACUAGGGAGUGGGAGAGGUAGACGGUAUUCGGUAGGAAGGGGUAAAAUCCUUUGAUCUAUUGAGGACCACCUGUGGCGAAGGCGGUCUACCAGAACACGUUCGACGGUGAGGGAUGAAAGCUGGGGGAGCAAACAGGAUUAGAAACCCCGGUAGUCC
Molecule: ribosomal RNA, 274 nt
Filed under: uncultured bacterium
Lineage: Bacteria
Description: partial 16S ribosomal RNA
Rfam family: Archaeal small subunit ribosomal RNA
Source: RNAcentral